UUAAGCCAUGCGAGUCGAACGAGUUUAGGCUCGUGGCGUACGGCCCAGUAACACGUGGAUAACCUACCCUUAGGACCGGGAUAACCUUGGGAAACUGAGGAUAAUACUGGAUAGGCAAUUAUUUCUGCAAUGGUUUUUUGUUUAAAUGUUUUUUCGCCUAAGGAUGGGUCUGCGGCCGAUUAGGUAGUUGGUUAGGUAAAGGCUUACCAAGCCGUUGAUCGGCACGGGUUGUGAGAGCAAGAGCCCGGAGAUGGAACCUGAGACAAGGUUCCAGGCCCUACGGGGUGCAGCAGGCGCGAAACCUCCGCAAUGUGAGAAAUCGCGACGGGGGGAUCCCAAGUGCCAUUCUUAACGGGAUGGCUUUUCAUUAGUGUAAAGAGCUUUUGGAAUAAGGGCUGGGCAAGACCGGUGCCAGCCGCCGCGGUAA
Molecule: ribosomal RNA, 427 nt
Filed under: uncultured archaeon
Lineage: Archaea
Description: bacterial SSU rRNA
Rfam family: Archaeal small subunit ribosomal RNA
Source: RNAcentral